Molecule: ribosomal RNA, 463 nt
Filed under: uncultured bacterium
Lineage: Bacteria
Description: partial 16S ribosomal RNA
Rfam family: Bacterial small subunit ribosomal RNA
Source: RNAcentral
GAUGAACGCUGACAGAAUGCUUAACACAUGCAAGUCUUUGGCGAAGCUGUGCUCGCACAGCCUAGCCAAGGCGGACGGGUGAGUAACGCGUAAGGAACUUGCCCUGCAGUCAGGGAUAACAGACGGAAACGACUGAUAAGACCUGGUAAAGUCAGGCGGACUCAUGUCCAGCCUGAUGAAAAGAGAUGCUGCAGGAGAGCCUUGCGUCCUAUUAGCUUGUUGGUGGGGUAACGGCCCUCCAAGGCGAUGAUAGGUAGCCGGCCUGAGAGGGUGGACGGCCACAAGGGGACUGAGAUACGGCCCUUACUCCUACGGGAGGCAGCAGUGGGGAAUAUUGGACAAUGGGGGCAACCCUGAUCCAGCAAUUCUGUGUGCACGAUGAAGGUUUUCGGAUUGUAAGGUGCUUUCAGCAGGGAAGAAAAAAAUGACGGUACCUGCAGAAGAAGCGACGGCUAAAUACGUG